RNAcentral lists this long non-coding RNA (239 nucleotides) under Manihot esculenta (cassava). Its description in RNAcentral is "long non-coding RNA (MESC_LNC002744)". Lineage: Eukaryota; Viridiplantae; Streptophyta; Magnoliopsida; Malpighiales; Euphorbiaceae. The record is from RNAcentral.
GGAUGGGUAGAGAAUUUCCUUGUGGCGGAGUUAAAACUAGGGUCCUGCCGAUCGUGGGAUGUGGACCUAAGGUGGGGGGAGAUCUUUCCGGGCUGCAACGAUCUGCCCGAAUUGAGUCUUAUUGAGCAGGUCGGGCUGCUUCGACUGACUUCCGUUGAGAGGAAGUAUGAUGUCGAGAAGUGUAUGUUUGCGUCCAACCUUAGGGAUAUCCGGGACACGGGUAUAGUGCUUUGUCCGGC